This is a long non-coding RNA of Vanessa tameamea, 652 nucleotides long. RefSeq lists it as uncharacterized. The record is from RefSeq and is a predicted model, not a curated record. Lineage: Eukaryota; Metazoa; Arthropoda; Insecta; Lepidoptera; Nymphalidae. The transcript is spliced from 2 exons.
CGCUCGUGUGUUUGUAGAGUCACGUGGUGAUAUUAUUGGUGAACGACUUAAAGCCCCCUUCAUCGAUAUGUACAAAGUGCGAGUGUGAUGUAUAUACGACUACUAUAUGAGACAUUGCGUGGGUGUGAGUAGGAACACUAGAGAAUAGUAUAGUUAAUUCAAUCCACGAAGACGCGCCCCAUUUCAUCAGUGUUGAGUCGACCACGGCUCUGUAUACACGGCUAAAUUCACGUUGCCCCGGAUUUUGACCCAUCGGGAAACUUGCUCCACUUAAAUGUUUUGUUCCCUAAACUUUAUUUUACUUUACUAACAUUAUUUUUAAAAUGCCUAGAAAAACGGAUCGUACUGUUCUUAAAAGCCAGGCAAGAGAUAUAAUCGGGAAAGUAUAUGAUUUCAUGAAAAAAGAAGCAAAUAAUAAUUACGCAGAAAAAUUAACCGAUGCACGUUGGAGAACCGCACAGGCUGCUGGAGUGUCUGAAAGCACAGUUACUAGAAUUUUACGUGAAAGAAAGGUGCAUGUAAAGUCGGGUACGGUGCAGACAAACAAGACAAACACUGAAGAAACGAAUGAAGCGAUUUCAUCGCAUACAAAUGACGCAAGCACAAGUACUACAUAGUUAAUAAUUCUGAAUUAAAUGAUGAUACAGACGUC